This 238-nucleotide ribosomal RNA is filed under the name uncultured bacterium. RNAcentral's name for it is "partial 16S ribosomal RNA". It matches the Rfam family "Bacterial small subunit ribosomal RNA", at positions 15 to 235 of the family's 1533-position model. The record is from RNAcentral.
GAUCAUGGCUCAGGACGAACGCUGGCGGCGUGCUUAACACAUGCAAGUCGAACGAGAAUCUACUGAAAGAGUUUUCGGACGAUGGAAGUAGAGGAAAGUGGCGGACGGGUGAGUAACGCGUGAGGAACCUGCCUUGAAGAGGGGGGACAACAGUUGGAAACGACUGCUAAUACCGCAUGAAGCAUAGGGGUCGCAUGAUUCUUAUGCCAAAGAUUUAUCGCUUCAAGAUGGCCUCGCG